UGCUCUUCUUUUCCAGCUUGGUUUGACUUCCGCAACUCUUGUCGCUUUAAAUCUACUUCUUGCUGAAAUUCAAGGUACCCUGGCUCUUUCUCCAACUUCUCCACAAAAGAAGAAGUCACCUUUACCUUCUUGAGUAAAGUGAUCACUUGCUCUAGAUUUUGAUCCUCCAUCUCCUCUUCAGCUGUCAUUGAUCGUGUGUUUUUGGUUGAUUCCAUGGUUACCUAUUUCACACAAUAAUUGCAGGUUCGAGAAAAUUUCC
This 259-nucleotide long non-coding RNA is filed under the name Medicago truncatula (barrel medic). RNAcentral's name for it is "long non-coding RNA (MTRU_LNC006286)". The record is from RNAcentral. Lineage: Eukaryota; Viridiplantae; Streptophyta; Magnoliopsida; Fabales; Fabaceae.